UUGUCGGUGAUCAUGGUGCAUUCGUUGUUGCCGUCGAAGGUCAGAUUCGCGUGUCACCGACGUGUGCGUGUGGAAUCGGUCUUCCGUCAUCGCAGGUCUCCGUUCAGUGAGGCGGACUUCCUCCUCUGUUUUCGUCAUUUGGUUCUUCUUCUUUCCUGCUCUGUGACGCUGUGUCGAUCAGCUCGGGGGUGGAGAAAAUGAUUAUAGUUUUCCAAUUUGAAAGUGAAGCUUGGGGAGUUUAUUUUAGUUGACCUACUUCGAGUUGACUAUUGAGGGGCUAUCUUUUGACGUGAAGUGAAGAAGUUAUUGACCAGCUUGGAUGUAAAAUUUAAAAUUUUGAAUUUAUGUUUUGUAUAUUUUAUUUAGACGCUCCACAUAAACUAUAGUUAGGACAUUCAUAUAUAUAUAUAUAUAUAUAUAUAUAUACAUGAUUUGUCAAUUAGAAGGAGCAUAGCUCUUUGUUGAUGCUAUUUUAUACUGAGGAAUGUCGUCAUAGAAUUUUCAGGAAGUCUUAUUUUAUGGGGAGAUUCUAUCAAAAAUUGUUUUUACAAAAGCAUUAAGUCUUCUGUUCUUAUUAUUCAUAUUGGACAUGGUUCGAUUUAUUUUCAAAUGUCUUAGUGGUUUAGAAAUUAGAGUUCGUUAUGUUAAGGCUUUCGAGAUAUAGGUUUUGUUUUCAUAUUUCGUACUGGUCAUUCCUUAUUUUCAAGGAGUGACACAUGCUUAGGAAGAUAUUGUCUCAGCAAACCUAAAAGACACCUACUCUAACGAAGUUGCUUGCUUCUCUGCAAUGCUUAUUUUCUGCUGGAAAAUAGAAAUCACACCACAUGGAAUAGUGAUACAUAGACUCACACGACACAAUGGGGAAAGGGACAACAUGUGCGUCAAGCCGUCAACCCAAAGAAACUAAAUGGGUGACAACUUUAGAACAAUGACGAGUGAAGCUUGGCAAGUUACAUUCGUACUCUCAUGAUGACCAAAACAGACAUCAAAGAUGCUAUAUUAACCCAAAACCUCCAAUCUGGUGUCUUGCCGCGUGGAUGUGGUUGCUCGACCUUCAAAACAAGACCAGAAUCACUAGCUAAUUAUUUGAAAGGCCAAGGCCAAGCACGCUGCUUUCUCUCUUCAUGUCACUAUUGCUUUCAUCUGGUAGUACCAAGAUUAGCGAUCAACAAUGUCCAACAUGCGUGUCUUCUUUUAAGGAACUAUAUGUCUAUCAAAUAAAAGUUUUUGAAUAUCUCUUUGUACGACGUAUAUAUACUGAAUAAUUAACAUCAUGCAUCAAUGAUAAAUAACUCAA
Molecule: long non-coding RNA, 1297 nt
Organism: Prosopis cineraria
Lineage: Eukaryota; Viridiplantae; Streptophyta; Magnoliopsida; Fabales; Fabaceae
Exons: 4
Source: RefSeq, a predicted model, not a curated record